This 74-nucleotide transfer RNA is filed under the name Paenibacillus sp. 1_12. RNAcentral describes it as "tRNA_Pseudo_GGC". Lineage: Bacteria; Bacillati; Bacillota; Bacilli; Caryophanales; Paenibacillaceae. The record is from RNAcentral.
GAAACCAACCCAAGUGGAAGAGCGUAUCGCUGGCAGCGAUGCGCUUAGGGGUUCGAUCCCCCUAGGCUCCACCA